This 254-nucleotide ribosomal RNA is filed under the name uncultured bacterium. RNAcentral's name for it is "partial 16S ribosomal RNA". It matches the Rfam family "Bacterial small subunit ribosomal RNA", at positions 524 to 776 of the family's 1533-position model. The record is from RNAcentral.
UACGUAGGGGGCGAGCGUUGUCCGGAUUUAUUGGGCGUAAAGAGCUCGUAGGCGGUUUGGUAAGUUGGAUGUGAAAUCUCCAGGCUCAACUUGGAGGGGUCAUUCGAUACUGCCAUGACUAGAGUUCGGUAGGGGAGUGUGGAAUUCCUGGUGGAGCGGUGAAAUGCGCAGAUAUCAGGAGGAACACCGGUGGCGAAGGCGGGUCUCUGGGCCGGAACUGACGCUAAGGAGCGAAAGCGUGGGGAGCGAACAGG